CCUUAAAUAAAAAAUGCCUGAAAAUAUGUGCCUCUCCACCUACAAUCCUGGCUGUGCAAGAAACACUUGACUUCCUCGACUCUUCUCUUUCAAGUCCUUCUUUCACCCUAGGUCACUUCUGUCCCCUGCCUCCAUUCUUAGAAAGCGCUGGUCCUCCUGUCUGUCCCCCAGCCGAUGCUCCAUGCACGGCCUGUUGGGGUGUCCCUUCCCUCCUCCGCCCUGCCUGAAGCUCAAGUGUCACCUGUACAGCUGAACCCCAGGUCUGUUUCGGGGCACGGGGAAACAGUCUACAUCCCUCAGGACUUAGGAUGCUCAAAUCUGGUAGGUGUCUCAGGACCUCGCGAAGCCAGACCAUAAGAUCUACAGGGGCUCUCAGACGCCACCGCAUCCAACAGCUCGAAGAAGGAACCAGAGAAGACUAGAAACAGGAUGGAAUGGGAAGGUGGAGGGAGAGGCGAAGGGGAAGUCGCGAUGCUGACUGCAAGGCCCCCUCGUCCUCAGGCGUCCAGCUUGCAGGGACUGCCCCUGCCUUGGGAGAGUCCUCACAGGCCACACCUGCCACUGGGCCAGGCCACAGCAGACACUCAUGACAGACGAUAAGAAUGACAGCUGCCCGCGCUUGAGCAGGCACUCUAGG
This 637-nucleotide long non-coding RNA is filed under the name Macaca nemestrina (pig-tailed macaque). RNAcentral describes it as "lncRNA (ENSMNEG00000045926.1)". Lineage: Eukaryota; Metazoa; Chordata; Mammalia; Primates; Cercopithecidae. The record is from RNAcentral.